Molecule: ribosomal RNA, 494 nt
Filed under: uncultured bacterium
Lineage: Bacteria
Description: partial 16S ribosomal RNA
Rfam family: Bacterial small subunit ribosomal RNA
Source: RNAcentral
GACGAACGCUGGCGGCGUGCCUAAUACAUGCAAGUAGAACGCUGAAGGAGGAGCUUGCUUCUCUGGAUGAGUUGCGAACGGGUGAGUAACGCGUAGGUAACCUGCCUGGUAGCGGGGGAUAACUAUUGGAAACGAUAGCUAAUACCGCAUAAGAGUAGAUGUUGCAUGACAUUUGCUUAAAAGGUGCAAUUGCAUCACUACCAGAUGGACCUGCGUUGUAUUAGCUAGUUGGUGAGGUAACGGCUCACCAAGGCAACGAUACAUAGCCGACCUGAGAGGGGGAUCGGCCACACUGGGACUGAGACACGGCCCAGACUCCUACGGGAGGCAGCAGUAGGGAAUCUUCGGCAAUGGACGGAAGUCUGACCGAGCAACGCCGCGUGAGUGAAGAAGGUUUUCGGAUCGUAAAGCUCUGUUGUAAGAGAAGAACGAGUGUGAGAGUGGAAAGUUCACACUGUGACGGUAUCUUACCAGAAAGGGACGGCUAACUACGU